AAUAGAUACCCGGGUAGUCCACCCCGUAAACGUUGGGAACUAGUUGUGGGGUCCUUUCCACGGAUUCCGUGACGCAGCUAACGCAUUAAGUUCCCCGCCUGGGGAGUACGGCCGCAAGGCUAAAACUCAAAGGAAUUGACGGGGACCCGCACAAGCGGCGGAGCAUGCGGAUUAAUUCGAUGCAACGCGAAGAACCUUACCAAGGCUUGACAUACACCAGAACACCCUAGAAAUAGGGGACUCUUUGGACACUGGUGAACAGGUGGUGCAUGGUUGUCGUCAGCUCGUGUCGUGAGAUGUUGGGUUAAGUCCCGCAACGAGCGCAACCCUCGUUCUAUGUUGCCAGCACGUAAUGGUGGGAACUCAUGGGAUGCUGCCGGGGUCAACUCGGAGGAAGGUGGGGAUGACGUCAAAUCAUCAUGCCCCUUAUGUCUUGGGCUUCACGCAUGCUACAAUGGCCGGUACAAAGGGCUGCAAUACCGUGAGGUGGAGCGAAUCCCAAAAAGCCGGUCCCAGUUCGGAUUGAGGUCUGCAACUCGA
RNAcentral lists this ribosomal RNA (540 nucleotides) under uncultured bacterium. Its description in RNAcentral is "bacterial SSU rRNA". It matches the Rfam family "Bacterial small subunit ribosomal RNA", at positions 777 to 1315 of the family's 1533-position model. The record is from RNAcentral.